UGGGGAAUAUUGGACAAUGGGCGAAAGCCUGAUCCAGCCAUGCCGCGUGUGUGAAGAAGGUCUUCGGAUUGUAAAGCACUUUAAGUUGGGAGGAAGGGCAUUAACCUAAUACGUUAGUGUUUUGACGUUACCGACAGAAUAAGCACCGGCUAACUCUGUGCCAGCAGCCGCGGUAAUACAGAGGGUGCAAGCGUUAAUCGGAAUUACUGGGCGUAAAGCGCGCGUAGGUUGUAUGUUAAGUUGGAUGUGAAAUCCCCGGGCUCAACCUGGGAACUGCAUUCAAAACUGACUGACUAGAGUAUGGUAGAGGGUGGUGGAAUUUCCUGUGUAGCGGUGAAAUGCGUAGAUAUAGGAAGGAACACCAGUGGCGAAGGCGACCACCUGGACUAAUACUGACACUGAGGUGCGAAAGCGUGGGGAGCAAACA
This 427-nucleotide ribosomal RNA is filed under the name uncultured bacterium. RNAcentral's name for it is "partial 16S ribosomal RNA". It matches the Rfam family "Bacterial small subunit ribosomal RNA", at positions 355 to 774 of the family's 1533-position model. The record is from RNAcentral.